GAUGAACGCUAGCGGCAGGCUUAACACAUGCAAGUCGAGGGGCAGCAUGAGACGGAGAUUCGUCGAAGUCUUGAUGGCGACCGGCGCAAGGGUGCGUAACGCGUGAGCAACCUUCCCGUUACUCAGGGAUAGCCUUCCGAAAGGGAGAUUAAUACCUGAUGGUAUUCAAAUUUCGCAUGUUAUUUGAAUUAAAGAUUUAUCGGUAACGGAUGGGGAUGCGUGACAUUAGGUAGAUGGCGGGGUAACGGCCCACCAUGCCUACGAUGUCUAGGGGUUCUGAGAGGAAGGUCCCCCACACUGGAACUGAGACACGGACCAGACUCCUACGGGAGGCAGCAGUAAGGAAUAUUGGGCAAUGGAGGCAACUCUGACCCAGCCAUGCCGCGUGAAGGAUGGAGGCCCUACGGGUCGUAAACUUCUUUUGUCAGGGAAUAAAGUCAUCCACGUGUGGGUGUUUGCAGGUACCUGAAGAAUAAGCAUCGGCUAACUCCGUGCCAGCAG
Molecule: ribosomal RNA, 501 nt
Filed under: uncultured bacterium
Lineage: Bacteria
Description: bacterial SSU rRNA
Rfam family: Bacterial small subunit ribosomal RNA
Source: RNAcentral